UGGGUAACCUGCCUCAAAGAGGGGAAUAGCCUCCCGAAAGGGAGAUUAAUACCGCAUAAUAUGUUUAAGUCGCAUGACUUUAACAUCAAAGGAUUUUCUUUUAGAAAUUCCACUUUGAGAUGGACCCGCGGCGCAUUAGCUAGUUGGUGAGGUAACGGCUCACCAAGGCAACGAUGCGUAGCCGACCUGAGAGGGUNAUCGGCCACAUUGGAACUGAGACACGACCCAGACUCCGUAGGGAGG
RNAcentral lists this ribosomal RNA (243 nucleotides) under uncultured bacterium. RNAcentral describes it as "partial 16S ribosomal RNA". It matches the Rfam family "Bacterial small subunit ribosomal RNA", at positions 118 to 348 of the family's 1533-position model. The record is from RNAcentral.